UACAGAGGGUGCGAGCGUUACUCGGAAUUACUGGGCGUAAAGCGCGCGUAGGCGGCUUUGCAAGUCGGGUGUGAAAUCCCCAGGCUUAACCUGGGAACUGCAUUCGAGACUGCAUUGCUAGAGUAUGGGAGAGGGAAGUGGAAUUUCCGGUGUAGCGGUGAAAUGCGUAGAUAUCGGAAGGAACACCAGUAGCGAAGGCGGCUCGCUGGGCCAUUCCUGACGCUGAGACGCGAAAGCUAGGGGAGCGAACAGG
RNAcentral lists this ribosomal RNA (253 nucleotides) under uncultured bacterium. RNAcentral's name for it is "partial 16S ribosomal RNA". It matches the Rfam family "Bacterial small subunit ribosomal RNA", at positions 524 to 776 of the family's 1533-position model. The record is from RNAcentral.